CACCAGGCCUGGCACCCACCUUGCGACUGAAGGUGGCCUCGUAUUGCUUAAAAAGGUAUGUUUCAGUUUAAAUACCAGACAGUAAAAAUAGAGCUCGAGGACCACCUGCACUGUUGCCAAAUCAUUGCCAGAAUGAAUAGCUUAAAUAAAUAAAAAAUCACUUACCAACCACUGCACACUUGUAUGUUAUCAGGGAAGCCAAAGUUUUUACUUCAUCUACACUCACAUCAAUGCUGUAAUGGAUAUCUGGUGGUGUUUUUUUUAAAAAUG
RNAcentral lists this long non-coding RNA (270 nucleotides) under Pan troglodytes (chimpanzee). Its description in RNAcentral is "long non-coding RNA NONPTRT002230". The record is from RNAcentral. Lineage: Eukaryota; Metazoa; Chordata; Mammalia; Primates; Hominidae.